RNAcentral lists this ribosomal RNA (245 nucleotides) under uncultured bacterium. Its description in RNAcentral is "partial small subunit ribosomal RNA". It matches the Rfam family "Bacterial small subunit ribosomal RNA", at positions 26 to 285 of the family's 1533-position model. The record is from RNAcentral.
AGAAUCAACGCUGGCGGCGUGCCUAACACAUGCAAGUCGCACGAGAAAGGGACUUCGGUCCUGAGUACAGUGGCGCACGGGUGAGUAACACGUGAAUAAUCUACCUCCGAGUGGGGAAUAACUGAGAGAAAUCUUAGCUAAUACCGCAUAACACUUACGAGUCAAAGCAGCAAUACGCUUGGAGAGGAGUUCGCGGCAGAUUAGUUAGUUGGCGGGGUAAUGGCCCACCAAGACGAUGAUCUGUA